RNAcentral lists this ribosomal RNA (253 nucleotides) under uncultured bacterium. RNAcentral's name for it is "partial 16S ribosomal RNA". It matches the Rfam family "Bacterial small subunit ribosomal RNA", at positions 524 to 776 of the family's 1533-position model. The record is from RNAcentral.
UACAGAGACUGCAAGCGUUGUUCGGAUUCAUUGGGCGUAAAGGGUGCGUAGGCGGUCAGGCAAGUCGGAUGUGAAAUCCCAAAGCUUAACUUUGGAAGUGCAUCCGAAACUACCUGGCUAGAGGACUGGAGGGGAGACUGGAAUUCUCGGUGUAGCGGUGAAAUGCGUAGAUAUCGAGAGGAACACCAGUGGCGAAGGCGGGUCUCUGGACAGUUCCUGACGCUGAGGCACGAAAGCUAGGGUAGCAAACGGG